Engraulis encrasicolus (European anchovy) is the source of this 1216-nucleotide long non-coding RNA. RefSeq lists it as uncharacterized. The record is from RefSeq and is a predicted model, not a curated record. The transcript has 5 exons. NCBI's taxonomy places the organism in Eukaryota, Metazoa, Chordata, Actinopteri, Clupeiformes, Engraulidae.
CAGUAGUCUAGUAACGAACCUGGACUCGAUCUACUACUGAACUAGGAUAUUGUGCUGUGUAAAUAAUUUGCAUUGAGGAGAGUCCAUCAGCUCACUAACACGGGUGAGGGACAGGGACCAAAGAGGAGGCUCUACAACAUGAGGAAAGACGGCGAUCCUCAAGCAGUCAGUCCAUGAGCCCACGUCUUCAGGCCAGGGGCCCGAGAGAAAUUUCCAGUGACAUGGAUCAACAGAGAUCCUCAAACAGUCAGUCCAUGUGCCACGUUCCAGCCAGGGACCAAAAGGGGGACUUUCGUCAUGGGGCCAGACAGACAUCCUCAAGCAAAAUAGAGAGAUGCAUCCAGGCCACCCACUAGGAGGUGGGAAAUCGUACGAAGAGGUGGCUGUACCUGGCAGCAGACUGAGAUGGGGUGAGGAAGAGAAGCACAGACCAAGAACGGAAUGUCAGACAUUUGCCCUUUUUUAUGCCCAGCACACACAGACACACACACACACACACACACACACACACACACACACACACACACACACACACACCAGCAUAUAAACAUGCACAUAGACACAGGCGCACGUGCACACACAUACACAGACUCUCAAACAAGAUGAGUCUCUGGUGAUGUUGGCAAAUAAUCUGAAUCGAUACACACGGCAAUGAUUCCACCAUGGUGCCCCACCUACGCGAGUCCUGUCCUUCAGCAUUGACUUUCUCCCCAGGUGUGGUGUGCCUUCAUCCGAACCACAAUGGCAUCCCAAGCAGCAACAAAUACCUGCACGCAUGCAUGCUACGGUACACACACAAACACACUGGACUGUGAACUAGGUCAGACACACACACAUGCUCAAAGUAGCCAAGAUCGAAAAGGCUGCAUCGGUGGCUUGACUGCAUCCAUUUUUUGGAGGAACACCUUUGUCAAUUUGGAGGAACUUUGUUGUGGGAAGAUAUUUUAAAAUGUUGAUAGUCAGACUCUUGUAUACCCAUUCGCUUCACUUUGAUGUAUUUUGUAAUUGAGAUGAUUUAUGCCACAGUGCUGAAUUAACACAUCAUGACAAAGAUGUCGCCUUAAAAGGUAUGUUUGGUACCUGUGGGUCAAAUGUCUCAGGAGCUCCCUGACUGCAGAACGUCUCAGGAAAGGACUCAACUUUUUAUAUUGUAUGCUGGGUGCGAUUUGUCAGAAAACCAGAAAGGGGGAUGUGUUUCAGAUGUCAACAAUAUCAA